Molecule: ribosomal RNA, 255 nt
Filed under: uncultured bacterium
Lineage: Bacteria
Description: partial 16S ribosomal RNA
Rfam family: Bacterial small subunit ribosomal RNA
Source: RNAcentral
UACGGAGGGUGCAAGCGUUGCUCGGAAUUAUUGGGCGUAAAGGGCAGGUAGGUGGUCUCGUUUGUCUGGGGUGAAAGCCUUGAGCUUAACUCAAGAAGUGCCCCAGAAACGGCGAGACUAGAGUACUGGAGAGGGUCGUGGAAUUCCCGGUGUAGCGGUGAAAUGCGUAGAGAUCGGGAGGAACACCAGCGGCGAAGGCGGCGACCUGGACAGUUACUGACACUCAACUGCGAAAAGCGUGGGGGAGCAAACAGG